CCAGCUGCAUAUAGUGAACUGCACAGGACUGGGGGAAGAAAAGGUAAAAGCGUCGGUAGCCACCUUUCGAUCAGUGCGCUGCAAGUCCGCAGACGGACACCAACCGCAGUGAAAACAGGCGUUUGCAUUGUGAAUCCAGCCAUGGACUGCAAUGUCCUUAGAUCGCGUUCUGCUUUUGCAUUUUAUGGUCCAGACUACUUGCCCCUCGUGUUGGAUUGCAGCUGGUGCCUUGAGUUUACCUAUAUCAGGUACAGUAUGACUUGCAUAACUUACUCUUUCCUUUAUCAUAGCACUACUUCUUGUGUAAACAGAUGUCAAGAUGGUGUUUAAGACUUGACACUGUUUGUUGUUUGCAUUAUUUUGCACUUCUAAAGUUGCUGUCACUUGUUUUCUGUUAAAGAGGCAAGUGCCCUAACUACCUUCAAACUGGCAGCUCUUAAUACUCCUGGAGCUCAGCUGGCCUUCUGCACCUUCCUCAUUACUAUCAUAUCUAUCUACAUGUGGUGAAUAGCUUAUAUGACAGAGCCUGUUCAAUUCAGAAAGCUGUUAAAGCUCAACAGGUAUAAUCAGUGGCACAGGAGUGAAAUCAUUCCAAUGAAGUUAAAGAUAUGACCAAUACUGGAAACUUCAAACAGCUCUUCAAGCUUAAAGAGGGAGGACCCACCACAGCAAGCCUUUCUGUAGGCCCCCUUCAACUCUUCAAGUCUUCUUCACUACUUCUUCUUCUAUAGUCUUAUUCAAUUGACACCAGCUCUUUUCUCUCUUGUAUAUGUUUUGCAUUGAAGUCAAUACAGUAAAAAAAGAGAAGUUGGUGUCCUGUUUUCCUUGCUUUUUGUGCCUUACAACAGGUUACAGGAACACCCAGUCAUGAGGAGGAUAAGGUUCUGCACAAGGACAAACCUAUGAGGUGGCACUGUGGCUUUCCAAAUAAAGUUCUGUGAUACACUUAGACUCUUAAUUGCUUGCAGUCAGUGCAUUACAGAACUUUGUUUUGGGAGUUAAUACUUUAACCUGUGGGAAAUAAAGCCUCAAACAUAUGGAAAGUUUAAGUUUACAACAUGGUGCGAUAUUCCUCUUGAUACCUCUUGAUAAGUGACUGUUUUCUUGAAUAAAAUGUAUCUCUGUUUGAA
Micropterus salmoides (largemouth bass) is the source of this 1130-nucleotide long non-coding RNA. RefSeq lists it as uncharacterized. The transcript is spliced from 2 exons. Lineage: Eukaryota; Metazoa; Chordata; Actinopteri; Centrarchiformes; Centrarchidae. The record is from RefSeq and is a predicted model, not a curated record.